GCCAGCCCGCUACAGAAACUCAAAGGAAUUGACGGGGGCCCGCACAAGCGGUGGAGUAUGUGGUUAAUUCGAUGCAACGCGAAGAACUUACCUGGUCUUGACAUCCCGGAGACCCUUAGGAAACUAGGGGGUGCUUCCAUCUGGAAGAAUCUGGAGACAGGUGCUGCAUGGCUGUCGUCAGCUCGUGUCGUGAGAUGUUGGGUUAAGUCCCGCAACGAGCGCAACCCUUGCCUUUAGUUGCCAGCAGUUCGGCUGGGCACUCUAAAGGGACUGCCGGUGUUAAACCGGAGGAAGGUGGGGAUGACGUCAAGUCCUCAUGGCCUUUAUGACCAGGGCUACACACGUACUACAAUGGCCGAUACAAAGGGCAGCGACACUGCGAGGUGAAGCCAAUCCCGUAAAAUCGGUCUCAGUCCGGAUUGGAGUCUGCAACUCGACUCCAUGAAGUUGGAAUCGCUAGUAAUCGUGGAUCAGCAUGCCACGGUGAAUACGUUCCCGGGCCUU
RNAcentral lists this ribosomal RNA (504 nucleotides) under uncultured Desulfobulbus sp. RNAcentral describes it as "bacterial SSU rRNA". It matches the Rfam family "Bacterial small subunit ribosomal RNA", at positions 903 to 1382 of the family's 1533-position model. Lineage: Bacteria; Pseudomonadati; Thermodesulfobacteriota; Desulfobulbia; Desulfobulbales; Desulfobulbaceae. The record is from RNAcentral.